ACCAUCCAAAAGCCAAGUUGUGGGUGCGUUCAACAGGGUGACAAAUCUCUUAUAUAGAGAUAGACGAAGCAGCACGGUGACAAUACAAAGAGAAAGAGAGUGGUGUGUGCAACAGCCUUCAUUUUACCACAUGAAGAUGGUUCUUCUGCUCGUUGUACUGGAGAUCAUUCUGCUCGUUACGAUGCCGUUUGGAGGGCUGGCAGGUCCGAGUGCGAGACAGAUAAACGAGAGUGACAACCCCAGGUGUCCCGCUUGCCGCAGUCCUCCUUGUCAUUGUUGAAAGUAUAUGGGGUUUUGUCCCAUUUAAUUUUUCAUUCCUCAAAAGUCAUGUAGACGCAUUACAGCUGGUUGCCUGGCAUCAGCAAAUUGUAGUCUCGCACAUGUACUAGAGUGGAGGAGGAAUGAGACCAUUGUAAUAAGGGACUCUCUCUCUCUCUCUCUCUCUCUCUCUCUCUCUCUCUCUCUCUCUCUCUCUCUCUCUCUCUCGUCGUUAGAGCAUGAUAAGAGGACUAGUACAGGCGCACCUUCUCCGCCGCCACACCGCACUACUCGCCUACAUCUUCGAUUCCUGGCGACUUAUUCAAACCUAUAAUAAGAAUGCUCCUCGGUGUGAUAGCAAUAUUGUUAGCCACCCAGGAGCAUGUGCUUCAUCAUUUUCCAAUUUGCAUCCUUUAUGUCAUUGUUAGGUUUUUGUGCUGUGUAACGACUACAUGCCUGGCAAUUUGAUACAUCAUUACGUUGUGCA
Triticum aestivum (bread wheat) is the source of this 745-nucleotide long non-coding RNA. RefSeq lists it as uncharacterized. The record is from RefSeq and is a predicted model, not a curated record. Lineage: Eukaryota; Viridiplantae; Streptophyta; Magnoliopsida; Poales; Poaceae. The transcript has 2 exons.